RNAcentral lists this ribosomal RNA (284 nucleotides) under uncultured soil bacterium. RNAcentral describes it as "partial 16S ribosomal RNA". It matches the Rfam family "Bacterial small subunit ribosomal RNA", at positions 26 to 337 of the family's 1533-position model. The record is from RNAcentral.
AGAACGAACGCUGGCGGCAUGCCUAAUACAUGCAAGUCGAACGAACACUUCGGUGUUAGUGGCGCACGGGUGCGUAACGCGUGGGAAUCUGCCCUUGGGUUCGGAAUAACAGUUGGAAACGACUGCUAAUACCGGAUGAUGACGAAAGUCCAAAGAUUUAUCGCCCAGGGAUGAGCCCGCGUAGGAUUAGCUAGUUGGUGAGGUAAAGGCUCACCAAGGCGACGAUCCUUAGCUGGUCUGAGAGGAUGAUCAGCCACACGUGGGACUGAGACACGGCCCAGACU